Molecule: ribosomal RNA, 167 nt
Filed under: Cypripedium debile
Lineage: Eukaryota; Viridiplantae; Streptophyta; Magnoliopsida; Asparagales; Orchidaceae
Description: 5.8S ribosomal RNA
Rfam family: 5.8S ribosomal RNA (bases 1-110)
About the family: 5.8S ribosomal RNA (5.8S rRNA) is a component of the large subunit of the eukaryotic ribosome. It is transcribed by RNA polymerase I as part of the 45S precursor that also contains 18S and 28S rRNA.
Source: RNAcentral
AGCGAAAUGCGAUAAGUGGUGUGAAUUGCAGAAUCCCGUGAAUCAUCGAGUUUUUGAACGCAAGUUGCGCCCAAGGCCAUCAGGUUAAGGGCACGCCUGCUUGGGCGUUGUGCAUUGCAUCUCUCCUAUCAAUUCUUGUCUAGCUUAUAGUUAGGCUGGUGUUGUGU